This 464-nucleotide ribosomal RNA is filed under the name uncultured Klebsiella sp. RNAcentral describes it as "bacterial SSU rRNA". It matches the Rfam family "Bacterial small subunit ribosomal RNA", at positions 338 to 795 of the family's 1533-position model. Lineage: Bacteria; Pseudomonadati; Pseudomonadota; Gammaproteobacteria; Enterobacterales; Enterobacteriaceae. The record is from RNAcentral.
CCUACGGGGUGCAGCAGUGGGGAAUAUUGCACAAUGGGCGCAAGCCUGAUGCAGCCAUGCCGCGUGUGUGAAGAAGGCCUUCGGGUUGUAAAGCACUUUCAGCGGGGAGGAAGGCGGUGAGGUUAAUAACCUCAUCGAUUGACGUUACCCGCAGAAGAAGCACCGGCUAACUCUGUGCCAGCAGCCGCGGUAAUACGGAGGGUGCAAGCGUUAAUCGGAAUUACUGGGCGUAAAGCGCACGCAGGCGGUCUGUCAAGUCGGAUGUGAAAUCCCCGGGCUCAACCUGGGAACUGCAUUCGAAACUGGCAGGCUAGAGGCUUGUAGAGGGGGGGAGAAUUCCAGGUGUAGCGGUGAAAUGCGUAGGGAUCUGGAGGAAUACCGGUGGCGAAGGCGGCCCCCUGGACAAAGACUGACGCUCAGGUGCGAAAGCGUGGGGAGCAAACAGGAUUAGAACCCUAGUAGUC